Drosophila subpulchrella is the source of this 4854-nucleotide long non-coding RNA. RefSeq lists it as uncharacterized. The transcript is spliced from 5 exons. The record is from RefSeq and is a predicted model, not a curated record. NCBI's taxonomy places the organism in Eukaryota, Metazoa, Arthropoda, Insecta, Diptera, Drosophilidae.
AACAGUGUUUCCCAAACAGUGUUGCAAAACGUCAGAUGAUCUAAUUGAAGACGACGAGAUCAAAAAUAAUCCGACUUUACUUCCGAGUUGACUUUCCCUUCCGAUUUGGACCAAUUUCUGGGUAUUAAAUUGUUACGAUUCGCAGACAAAGGGCGCUGAGAAUCUGUGUUGUCAACAAUGGGAACACGAACACCCACACGCAUUGUAAACGGGUGACAAAUCGCAUUUUUCGGCAAGAUCAAGCGAUCACAACAAAGUGCCAACAGGGCCAAUAGGGGAAAACUGUAUUCCCAACAAAUAAUUGCUUAUCGUUUGUUUGGCGGACGAAGGCUGCUGCGGCUGAUAAUGUCAUUAUCCUGGACGCAAAAGGGAAAAGGAGUCGGAGUCCUGCUCUCCGCAUGACGUCACCAGGAAUGCUUAAAUAUCCAUGUGGUUUCUUAAGGACUAUAAUUUUGCCCCUAAGUGUAUCUUCACCUCAUUCACCUUUGGCAGGACAGGCCGACAAAUUGACGCAAAACAUUUAACGCUGGGGAUCUCGGGAUUGGGUCGGCGGACAUGGUCGAACGGCAGACGGGAGCAAGGAGUGAGGGAAGGACCACAGGACGACGGUGCCGGCUCUUUCUGUGGGCCACAAAAAAUUCCUUUGAAUUGCGUCCGUUGCAGCAGAAACACACAAACACGGCGAUAUGUGUUUUCAGUAUUUUUUGUUGCCUGCGGCCUGUGGCUAUGCGCAAAAAAGGACAUCUCCUCCGGCGGUUGCUCCGGUGGUAGGAUGACUGGCGGUCCACAGGAUCGGUGGUUCGGACGUUCAGAGGUUCGGAGGUUUUUGUGGGCCCUCUAUUAUGCAUUGCGUACGGCCUCGCCCGGCGUGUUGACAUUUUUAUUCCAAACAGUUGAGCAAUAUUUAUAAACUGCCCGGGAAAAAAGGAGCAAGGAGGAUGAGGAUGAGGAGGUCAUGGUGCAUGAUGCAUGCCCAAUGGCUUUAUUUCAGGGUGACCAUGUAAAAUGUCCUCGUGGUUUGCUGCUUAUUAAAUGAGCUAUUUGAUUAACAUUGUUCUGUGCUUGCUGUUUCGCUAAUGAAAGAACAAAAGCGAGUAUUUGGCCUGUAGGCACAGAGGUCACAAGGCAAAAACCAUGGACAGCCAUUUUAAACAUUUAUCAGAAAAUAUAUGUUCCAUAUUUUAUGCAUGUUAGGAACCUCUUUCACUGAGAUAUUUCAGUCUUGUUAAGUAGAUGCCGUAAACAUUUUAUUGUAAGCGAAUGUUGGUUAGAUACCAUUUAAAGAAAUGUAUGAGAGAUGUUUUUGAUUAAUCAUAGGUCGUGUUAUGCUUAUCAUCUGAUAUUUAAUGAUAACCUAAGGUUAUUAAAAGAGUCAUUUUUAACGAUGUUUAUAAAUUUUAAAUGAUAUUCCGAUUAAAAGAUAUUCCUAUCCUAAGUUAAAGUUUGGCAAAGAUAGCCCUUACCGAAAUUAAUUAAAUAUAUAUUUUAUUUUAUUUAUAGUUUCAAGAUAUUCCUAUCCUUAGUUAAAGUCUGGCUAGGACAGUCUUAAACAUACAUAACCUUCCCACUAAUAGUAGUGUUCAUAAACAGCAACCUAAACAUCAACAAACGUUUCUCAAUUAACCGUUAAUGUACAAUUUGGCCUGCCACUCAAUUACUUUGUUUUUCUUUGGCAGCUUAUUAAAUGUUAUAUUUUGCAUGCCCAAGAGCAAGACAAAGUCUGUGGGAUUGCGGCUCUGGAAUUGUUGAUGUUUGCACUGGCGAAACACCUUGGAGACUGGGAACGAGAUGAUCUAAUUGAAUGACAAUAUUAUGCCAAGGCCUAAUUCAAUUUGCAAUUUGCAUUGCUUGGGGAGCGCUGCAGGUGGAGGAACAUGGCUGGAACAUGGGUUGAAUCUUAAACAAACACGGCAAUUACAGCAAACGGAUGCACUUGUCUGGCCAAAAGACUUGGGCCUGCUCUGUAAUUAGCCCGGGGACGAAAGGAUGCGGGAUGGGCUUCUGCUGGCCCUUUGUCGGCCUCCUCGGGGGUCCCGCCUAAUUAUCACAUUUUUACUCAUUAAAUUCACAUUUGCUUGUUUUUCUCCCGCGUUUCUUUUUGUUUUUUUUCUUUUUCGCAGGACCGAGCCCGCUGCCUAAUUACGGGGUAAUCAGGCUUUCAGCCGCCGUGGCUACCGAAUGAUGAUUGAUUCGAGGAUGGAGGAGUGACAUCUGCCCAAGCGCGUGCCAAACAAAGGGAAAAAAACACAGAGAGGAAAGUGCAAACAGCAGCUGAAAUGAAUAUGGAAAGCAGGGGCGUAGUCGAGGAAAAAGGAAAUCGAAAACUGAUUUGGAGCGGAAGUUCGUUUGCACCUUUCUGCAGUUUCCUGUAUUUGCCGCCGCCAGAACAAUAAACACACACAAGCUGCGGCAUCCACAAUUCCGCAAUCUACAGCCACUUCCAUAUCCACAAUCGCAAUCAGAAUCGCCGAGUGUUCCAUAUAGUACGAGUACCUUAACUUGUCUUGCCCUUUGACGCCGUCUUUUGUACUAAGAGAGUUGAGAUGGGAAAUGGGAUGGGAAUGGAAUGGAGAUGGAGACGAAGUCACCGCCCGUUGGCUUUUGAAUGAGCUGCAAAUCUAAAGCUAUACGCGAUUUUGCAAAAGUACAGAUUAAGGAUAUGCGUGUGCAGGCAAAAAAAUAUCGAAGAACUACACAAAUUGUGAUUAUAAUUUUUAAAAGAAAAUAUCCGAAAUAUCAUUGUAAGCGAGGCAAUAUGUUCCUAUUUUGAUAAGAUUUUCACUUAUCAUUGAUUAAGUACCUUUAAGAUUAGUCUAAAAUGUUUUAUACGAAUCCAUUAAAAAUGUACAAUGAAUAAUGAUUUCUAUAUCUACAUUUUCUUUCCAUGUAUGCAAAAGCAAGGAGCACGGAUCCCUGGCAGCUGCUCCUUCGAAACGCUGUAUUUGAUUUGCGAUUCGAGGCAGGCGGAAAUGGAAUGACACGCGAGGCACUCUUACUUUGUUUGAGGAUUGGCAAAAAUGGUGCCUCCAUUGCCCGACAAAAAACAGAAGGAACCAAGGACUAAGGACCCGUGAGCCGUAAGAGACUUCCACUUGAGCCGCACGCAUUGUUUGCAUUUGCGAGUCGGAGGGGCGUGCUGGAAAUCGGAUAUAGGAUCGCUCGCUCGGGACAAUCAAAUAGCGCAGCGGAGUUUUCCAACCCACUGAGCAGCCGCAAUCGGCGAGGGAAUCAGCUGCCUAUUGCCCAUGAGAAGACUACUCUAUGAGGAGAUGAGGUGCCAACCCGAGCCACGCGUGUUCUAUGUCCAGUGGUCAAAAUUGGACACUGGCCGUCUCAUUAGCGCACCAAAGGUUGCAAGGUUAAUGAUGCGCACCCCGUGCUUGGGCUUCCGUCUGCCCAUCUCCACCUCCUCGGGCAAUUAUGCGACGCACUUGAGCUUGAAGGGCCACGGAGCAGGGGAGUGCACAAUACAUUUUGGUCGCGCGGAUUAUACAACAUAUAAACCAAAUAAAUGGGACCCAACACCUGCAGGUGGAAAAACAUGAAAAAAUGAUCAUUGCGAGAUAUGUAAACGGGACAUGACGCCGCAGGAUGCCAAACAGAGGACGCUCCUCCAGUUGCAGUCCAAUCUCCACCACUUGCGCCUGGGUUAUCGGUGAAUAUUCCGUGACGAUGGCAAAAAUAUUGCAACGCAGCCAAAAAGGGGGAGAGGAGGAGUGCCAGGGAGGCCAGGAAAAGGGGUCGGGGUCUGGGUCCUGGUCCAUUUCGUGUGCACGUCGUUAUCCUUGCCCCGGAUGCACAACAAUCAAAAUAAACGGCUGCCAAAUUGACCAUUGACCAAACAUCGUCAGCAGCAAAAAACGAGUAGGUGGAGCAGGAGGUGCAAAACGACUGCAGCAGGAUGUGGAGGCGAAAAAGACCUCCAGGAUGUGGGUGAGUCAGUAAAGCCCCAUUGGACAGCGACAUCAUCUUUGGCCCCGUCACGUCGACUUCGAGCACAAUUCACGAGUCAAGCAGCCAUCACGAAAUAAACAUGAAAUUCUCCGGUUUUUGUUCAGCAAAGUGCAGGAAAAACGAUUAAAGAGAAUUCUUCAGAACUCUACAACUUUUUUUCCGAAUACAAAACAAUUAAAAGGAUUUUUUCUGAAUGCAGGCACUCCAAUGUUUAUUCAAUAAACCCGAUCUGAGAUGCGGCACCAGGAGGAGAGGCUGCAGAGCAGAUCAGAACAGCAGCUGGCUGGCAUUCCUUCGAGAAGCAACCGUUCUGCAGUUGGCCUGGCCCAUUCAAGACAAGCCGCUGGAAUUUCUUGGUGCGUGCUCGGCACAGGCACAGUCACUGGCACAGGUUCAGAUAUGAGAUUCAGCUGGUCCAGCGUCUGCCAGCUGCGUCUCCUGAUUAUGAUAAUGGCAGUUGGACGGACUGGACCGGAUCGGGUUGGACCGGGACAGGAAUCGGUACUGGGAAUGGGAAUGGGAGACUGGGACCACAUAGCACCACCAGGCAGUGGAAGCCCAGCUCAGCUCAUCCCGUCUUCGCUGGCCAGUUGUGUGCAAUUGCUUUCGUUUAUGAUCGAAUGAUCGAAUGCCUGGCAGCUCCGUUGACUUUCUGAUUAAUGCAAGAAUGCUCCUUGGCGGCGUUCCUGCUUUUUGCCCGAUCCCACCACCACCGACUGCAAUUAAAAGUGGAUACUCCUCAAUGGAAGGGUCACUGAAAAUUGGCGAAGGCAAUACACGACAUUGCAGCCAAAGACAAGGUCGGAGCAUCAACUUACUUAUCCCUAAAAGCGUACUACCACAAUGAGAUCUUUUUUGUUUAACUAAACUUGAGGUUGCCCUAGGAAAAAAUAAAUGUGA